GACGAACGCUGGCGGCGUGCUUAACACAUGCAAGUCGAGCGAUGAAACACCUUCGGGUGCGGAAUAGCGGCGAGCGGGUGAGGAACACGUGAGGAAUCUGCCUUCCACUCUGGGAUAACUCCGGGAAACCGGGGCUAAUACCGGAUACUUUCAACUGGCGGCAUCGCCGGUUGAAGAAAGUUUUUCGGUGGAAGAUGACCUCGCGGCCUAUCAGCUUGUUGGUGAGGUAAAGGCUCACCAAGGCGACGACGGGUAGCCGGCCUGAGAGGGCGACCGGCCACACUGGGACUGAGACACGGCCCAGACUCCUACGGGAGGCAGCAGUGGGGAAUAUUGGGCAAUGGAGGAAACUCUGACCCAGCGACGCCGCGUGAGGGAUGAAGGCCUUCGGGUUGUAAACCUCUUUCAGCAGGGAAUAAGCGAAAGUGAAGGUACCUGCAGAAGAAGCACCGGCUAACUAUGUGCCAGCAGCCGCUGUAA
RNAcentral lists this ribosomal RNA (480 nucleotides) under uncultured bacterium. RNAcentral's name for it is "partial 16S ribosomal RNA". It matches the Rfam family "Bacterial small subunit ribosomal RNA", at positions 28 to 523 of the family's 1533-position model. The record is from RNAcentral.